This 400-nucleotide ribosomal RNA is filed under the name uncultured bacterium. RNAcentral's name for it is "bacterial SSU rRNA". It matches the Rfam family "Bacterial small subunit ribosomal RNA", at positions 356 to 773 of the family's 1533-position model. The record is from RNAcentral.
GGGGAAUAUUGGACAAUGGGCGCAAGCCUGAUCCAGCCAUGCCGCGUGAGUGAUGAAGGCCUUAGGGUUGUAAAGCUCUUUCAGCGGGGAAGAUAAUGACGGUACCCGCAGAAGAAGCCCCGGCUAACUUCGUGCCAGCAGCCGCGGUAAUACGAAGGGGGCUAGCGUUGUUCGGAAUUACUGGGCGUAAAGGGCGCGUAGGCGGACUGUUAAGUCAGGGGUGAAAUCCCGGGGCUCAACCCCGGAACUGCCUUUGAUACUGGCGGUCUUGAGUUCGGGAGAGGUGAGUGGAAUUCCGAGUGUAGAGGUGAAAUUCGUAGAUAUUCGGAGGAACACCAGUGGCGAAGGCGGCUCACUGGCCCGAUACUGACGCUGAGGCGCGAAAGCGUGGGGAGCAAAC